This 205-nucleotide unclassified non-coding RNA is filed under the name soil metagenome. Its description in RNAcentral is "partial contains 5.8S ribosomal RNA, internal transcribed spacer 2, and large subunit ribosomal RNA". The record is from RNAcentral.
AACCUUAUGGACCUGCGGGCGUAUACCUGCGGAAGGAUCAUUAUAGAGUUUUCUAAACUCCCAACCCAUGUGAACUUACCUUUUGUUGCCUCGGCAGAAGUUAUAGGUCUUCUUAUAGCUGCUGCCGGUGGACCAUUAAACUCUUGUUAUUUUAUGUAAUCUGAGCGUCUUAUUUUAAUAAGUCAAAACUUUCAACAAUGGAUCU